UAGGGAAUCUUCCGCAAUGGGCGAAAGCCUGACGGAGCAACGCCGCGUGAGUGAUGAAGGUCUUCGGAUCGUAAAACUCUGUUAUUAGGGAAGAACAAAUGUGUAAGUAACUAUGCACGUCUUGACGGUACCUAAUCAGAAAGCCACGGCUAACUACGUGCCAGCAGCCGCGGUAAUACGUAGGUGGCAAGCGUUAUCCGGAAUUAUUGGGCGUAAAGCGCGCGUAGGCGGUUUUUUAAGUCUGAUGUGAAAGCCCACGGCUCAACCGUGGAGGGUCAUUGGAAACUGGAAAACUUGAGUGCAGAAGAGGAAAGUGGAAUUCCAUGUGUAGCAGUGGAAUGCGCAGAGAUAUGGAGGAACACCAGUGGCGAAGGCGACUUUCUGGUCUGUAACUGACGCUGAUGUGCGAAAGCGUGGGGAUCAAACAGG
Molecule: ribosomal RNA, 429 nt
Filed under: Actinomycetes bacterium
Lineage: Bacteria; Bacillati; Actinomycetota; Actinomycetes
Description: Actinobacteria bacterium partial 16S ribosomal RNA
Rfam family: Bacterial small subunit ribosomal RNA
Source: RNAcentral